AUACGUAGGGUGCAAGCGUUAAUCGGAAUUACUGGGCGUAAAGCGUGCGCAGGCGGUUUUGUAAGACAGAGGUGAAAUCCCCGGGCUCAACCUGGGAACUGCCUUUGUGACUGCAAGGCUAGAGUACGGCAGAGGGGGAUGGACCUCCGCGUGUAGCAGUGAAAUGCGUAGAUAUGCGGAGGAACACCGAUGGCGAAGGCAAUCCCCUGAGCCUGUACUGACGCUCAUGCACGAAAGCGUGGGGAGCAAACAGGAUUAGAUACCCUGGUAGUCCACGCCCUAAACGAUGUCAACUGGUUGUUGGGUCUUCAUUGACUCAGUAACGAAGCUAACGCGUGAAGUGGACCGCCUGGGGAGUACGGCCGCAAGGUUGAAACUUAAAGGAAUUGACGGGG
RNAcentral lists this ribosomal RNA (395 nucleotides) under uncultured bacterium. Its description in RNAcentral is "partial 16S ribosomal RNA". It matches the Rfam family "Bacterial small subunit ribosomal RNA", at positions 523 to 918 of the family's 1533-position model. The record is from RNAcentral.